Bubalus bubalis (water buffalo) is the source of this 5202-nucleotide long non-coding RNA. RefSeq lists it as uncharacterized. The transcript has 2 exons. NCBI's taxonomy places the organism in Eukaryota, Metazoa, Chordata, Mammalia, Artiodactyla, Bovidae. The record is from RefSeq and is a predicted model, not a curated record.
CUUGAUGGACAUGAGUUUGGGUAGACUCCGGGAGUUGGUGAUAGACAGGGAGGCCUGGCGUGCUGCAAUUCAUGGGGUUGCAAAGAGUCGGACACGACUGAGCAACUGAACUGAACUGAAUGUGCCUUUCUGCUUAAAUUCCAAGGAUUUUCCACCCACCCAGAAAAACCCCUGAUCCCAGACAGCAGUGUGUGCUCUGGCCCCUGCCUACCAUCCCACCCUGGGCUCUACCCUCGCCCCUGCCCCCUCUUUCCCAUCCCAGCACUCUCAUGCCCGUCACCUUCCAUUCGUGAAACACAGCAGGCUCAUUCUCUUCACAUGGUAAUUGCAUUUGCUGUUCCCCCUGGCCUUAAUGCUGUUCCUUGUUCUUCCAUGUGGCUGGCUCCUUAAGAUUUCUGCUCAGAGAAGCUGCCCCAUCCUCCACUAUCUAGCUGCCCCCCUCAGGUCACCCUGCUUCUUCCCUGCAUGUCACUGACCACACUCAUUACCUUGUGGGUUUUCUUGUGUUACCUGUGUCCCACCACCUUGAAAGCAGAGACCUUGCGCAGGGCCCGCACAGGUAGCAGGAACCCCUGGUGCUGGUUGAAUGGCAGCACCAUUCAAGAAGAAGGCCUGGGCGUGUAAAUGACACUGCAGGUCAGGAAGGAGAGUUGCUGCGGCCUCAAGUCAGGGAUGUUGUCUGGAAAGAGAAGGAGUUUUGGUGAUUAGGGGCAGAUAGCCGGGGCUUUGCCAAGUCAAGACACAGCACUUGCACACAGGUUGGGGAGCAGGACCCAGCACAGCUUGUUUGGAGACCAGCUAUCGCAGCUGCCCUUAUUGAGCACCAGCUGUAUGCCGGUAGUGUUGAGGUGACUGGAAUGUGCCUUUCUGCCCUCAAGGGGUUUGCAGUCCACUCUAGUGAUGAACUGUGCAGACAACAAUGUACUGUUGGACAGGGAAGCAAGGAAGUGGCAUGGUUACCCAAGGAAGAGCCAUCCAGGCCAAGGGCACAACCAGUGCAAAGGCCCAGAGGUAGGAGCGUGCUGGUCUGCCUGCUCAAAGCAUGGCCAGGAGGCCUGUGGCUGGGGGGGAGUGGAGGGGAGGUCAAGGUGUUAGUGGGGAGAGCAGAGAUGUGGGAGUGGGGCAGCAGCUCAGACCGCGUCAGACCUUCUAAGGGUUUCGGCCUUCACGGUGAGAGAGAUGAAGAGCCACUGAGGAGUUCUGAGGAGAGGGGACAUGAUCUGCCUUAGCUCUUGGAACAGUUUUUUGUGACCAGUGAGUAGAGAUGGCCAAGGAGGGGAGACCAGCAAUGAGGGGGCCAGGACAGCAGUGGAGGAUGGCAUGGGCCGUGGGGUAGCUUAUGCCAGAUUGCCUGGGUCCCAUUCGCAGCCCCGUGACCUUGGGCAGAUCUCCACCAGAGCUCCAUGCCCUCACCUCUUCUGUUGUAUUGGCUGGAUUCAGCUGGAGAAGCCAGACCCAUAGGAGCCACUGUGUAUUACAUUUCAUGCAAGGAACUGGCUUAUGCAAUUGUGGGCCAGUCAGGCAAGUCCAAAACCCAAGAGCAGGCUGGGGUUGCAGUCCACAGGUGAAAUUUCUUCUGCAGUAACACCUCAGCUCUGCCCAUUAAAGCAUUUCAGCUGAGGGACCCAGGGCCCCUCAGAGUAUCAAGUGUAACAUCUGUGAAAGCCGGCUAAUGUUGAACCUGAUCACCCCUGCAUAAUACCUCCUGAGCCAUUCCUGCAUGAGUGUGUGGUUGGAUAACUGGGGAUCGUAGCCUAGCCCGAGUGAUGGGCACGCCCUUGAAAAUGGAGUAGCGGCCACCUGCAGGAACGUGCAGAAGGUUCGAGGGUGUGAUGCAGUUAGAGGGCUUUGUGCCGUGCCCAGCAGUAGGCUGGGCCAGUCGGUGAUUGGCCUCCCCCAGGUGAGCACUGCUGCAGGAGAGCCCCAUCACCCAACCUCCUCCACCCUCCCCCUCCCCCCCCACACCUGAGAGCAGGGCGUUCUCUUCAGACCUGAAAAGAUGGACUGAGGCCCCAACCCUUCUAGUAGGUUGCAUGGCUCCAGUUCCGGUGGCUAGGAAGUUCCACCAGGGGGCGCAGGCGUCCAUGGAUCCUCUGGGAUCAUCCUGGCCCUGGGAUUGUGUCUGAGGCCGCAUCCCACCCCAGAGUCCUGUGAUGAGCUGCUGCUCAUUUAAAUGCAAAUGAGGUUGCUCAAGUGUAUUGCAAGUUUGUUCUUUUAGGUCAGUGUUGAUGCUCCUCGUGAAAUCCUGUUUACUUUAUGCUUUUCCUUGGAACCUUGGCAAGCUCACCCAGCUUCCAUUUUAGUACCACACAGGUUGCAUCACUGGAUGGAGUUCACGAGAUCAGUAUUACUGUAGUAUGAUGACAGAGAAGUGUGUCACCUGGACUUCAGAAUUUCUGUUUUGGUGUCAGACGGGGUCUGAGCUCCUGCUCUGCCACGUGUUGGCUCUGUGACUGGCAAGCUGCUUGACCUCCGACCUCAUGCCUCCAUAUGGAAAAUGGGGGUAAAAAUAGUGCCUGCCUCUAUGAAUGGUAAGGAUUGAACUAGCAGGGGGUGGCGCAUAGCAUGCUCCCAAUGAUAGCAGCCGCCAUGGUUGUUCUUUUAAUUAUUGAUAGGUUCAGAAAGGAAGGGGACUUGAGAGUUAAAAAGAACUGGCUUGAAGCAUAAUUUUCAUUCUGUGAGCCAAGGCCCUGGCCUCAUAGGAGACAGAAUCUAGUCUCAGAAUAUUCUGUAGAGUUAAGACAGGCUCUGGAGCCGGAACACCUAGUUUUGUGUCCCAGCUCUGCCAGCCACGUGGUCUUGGGCAAGUCCUAACUUCCCUGUGCCUCAGUUUGCUCAUCUAUGAAAUGAGUAUAAUGAAAGCACUUCAACAGGUCGUCUGAGGCUUGGAUAGGAGUUAAUACAUGGGAAGUGACUGGUGCAAGAGACACCAAGGGUUAAGCCAUUUCUGAGUAGAAGCAGCUCUUAAACAGGAGGGACUACUGACUUUGGCAUUUACGUCCUGCAGGAGAGACUCCUUUCAGAGGGGGAAGGCUGUGUGUGCACCAUCUCAUGGUUGCCAGCCAGCCUCCUGAUAACCUGGGCAGGUGGUCUUAUCCCCCUUUUAUAGGCCAGGGGAGGUAGGUCCAGGUCACCAAGGUCACCUAGCCAAGUAGACAGGAUUCAAAUCUGGUUCUUCCGAUUCAAACCUCUUUCCACUGAAGUCCGUUCCUUCCUGAGACCUGAGGAAUCCAGAGAGAGCAGGACUGGGCUCCGGAGACCUCUGGCAGGAGUUCCACAGACUGGGAGAGGGCCUGCCCCAAGAGAGCUCCCAACCCCACUGCGGUAUCUAUAGAGGGAACCCAUUGGGCACAAGAGAUUCUUCUUGAGGUAAAGGGUCCCUUUGCAGGCUGUGACUAGUAUCACUUCAUUUCUCUUUGUAUGAAUUUGGUCUUUAAUAAGGAGAAGGAAAUGGCACCCCACUCCAGUACUCUUGCCUGAAAAAUCCCAUGGAUGGAGGAGACUGGUAGGCUACAGUCCAUGGGGUCGCAAAGAGUCGGACACGACUGAGCGACUUCACUUUCAUGGUGUAUUUGGCUUAAAGCAAAACCUGCCUGUAGGUUCUGACUACUAUAAAAAGGUAGUCUGCCCUCCUUUGACAGAGGAAGUGACUAAGAGAGGGGCCACUGCCUUCCCAAGGGGAGGGGCAGGCAGAACCUGGCUUCCUGCUCAUGGCACUCCCACCAAAUCCUGGAAUGAGGCAGGGGUGUGAGGAGGGCCAGGGUGAAGCAGAGAAAGCAGGUCUGUAAAAGCCUCUGGUGCCUCGUCUUCCCCUGGGACAAAUGUACCCCCAGCCCACCCCAGGACGCAGAGUAGGGCCAGCCUCUCUCAGACCCCGGCCGGCCCUGCUUACCAGCCACAGACGGAGAGGGGCAGAGACAAAGCAGAUGACUGCAGCUUUCAGUCCUCCCCUGGAGGCUUUCAUUUCUUUUAAGUGAUUACUGGUUCCUGGCCUCAUGGAGGUCACAGCUCAACUGAGAAAGCAGGAUGUGCUGGGGAUUCAUUGAUGAAUGAGGGCCAGGAUGGGCUGUGAUGUAUGGGAGUCAAACAGAAGGGGCUGAGGUGGGUGGGGGGGGGCACCAGCCAAGAAGGGAGGGGCUGGAGAUGCUUGCUGGAGGAUGGAAGGGGUGGGUAUGAGCAGAGAGGGGGCCAGACACUCCUGGUAGAAGAGCUCGGUCUGAGCAAGGACUCUGGGUCUGGGAUGUGUUUGAAAGUUUGAGGGAAGAAGAGGUUGUCUAGCCUGGCAGACAUGAAGGGCUAGGAAGAGGGGGAGGGCAGGAGAUGCGUCUGGAAAGGAAACCUGGGAGAGUGUAUCAGCAAGCCUUUUCCAAAGCUUUCUUUUCUGCCCAAGCCAUCAACCCUCAGGGAGAAAGGCCCAGGCUGCUUGGAGAACACGGCCAAGACAUUCCUGGCACCCUCCGACGGCCUGUUCCAAGAGUGAACGUGUCUCGUGAAGGCAUUGCCUUCUGGCGCAUCUCACCCGGGCUGGUGUUUUUAAAUAAUUUUUAUUUGUGUGGCUCUGGGUCCCCAGCCUGAUGUCACCCCUGGAGUUCAAAGCCAACUAAUUGGGAAUGAAGGAGGCUGAUUGGUUUGGCAGUUCCACCGCCAGCCUAUGUGGCAGUGAUGAUGGAGAAAGUGUGUGUCUGGCCAUAGGCAGUGUGGUCCCACUGCCCUACUGGCCUGGACACACGGAGCAGGGGUGGGGGAGGGGAGGGCUCCCCGAAUCCUGGGAGUACAUAUCUCACACCUGGGAAGUGAGGCAACUCGAGGGUGGGUAGCCUUGAUCCCCUCCAUCCUGCUUGCUCAGCUUCUUUCUGGACCUCGGGCCUGUCAGCUGACCUCUCCUGCUGGGGUGAUGGGAAGAUGGUCUGGAAGGGGACAGCAUGUGCUAAGGCCCAGGGGUGCGCUGAGAGUCCUGAGCCUGCUUGUUGAAGCACAGAUCCUCAGACCCAGAUCUACCAAACAAGCAGCUCUAGGGAUGGCACCCAGAAACACCAGCCAGCUUUGAUGGGCUCCCCAGAAACAGAAAUGUGGCGUGUGUAACUCAGUUGGCUCGUGACAUUUUUAUAAUUGGUCAGUCCUGAAAUGUGGCGGCAAAGAAAAAUUUUCCAGCGUUUCAGCGAAACUUAGACUUUUGCGAGGAAAAAAAGUGUUUUUCCCCAA